RNAcentral lists this ribosomal RNA (497 nucleotides) under uncultured bacterium. Its description in RNAcentral is "partial 16S ribosomal RNA". It matches the Rfam family "Bacterial small subunit ribosomal RNA", at positions 28 to 507 of the family's 1533-position model. The record is from RNAcentral.
GAUGAACGCUGGCGGCGUGCCUAAUACAUGCAAGUCGAGCGAACAGAUAAGGAGCUUGCUCCUUUGACGUUAGCGGCGGACGGGUGAGUAACACGUGGAUAACCUACCUAUAAGACUGGGAUAACUUCGGGAAACCGGAGCUAAUACCGGAUAACAUAUUGAACCGCAUGGUUCAAUAGAGAAAGGCGGCUUUGCUGUCACUUAUAGAUGGUUCCGCGCCGUAUUAGCUAGUUGGUAAGGUAACGGCCUACCAAGGCUACGAUACGUAGCCGACCUGAGAGGGUGAUCGGCCACACUGGAACUGAGACACGGUCCAGACUCCUACGGGAGGCAGCAGUAGGGAAUCUUGCGCAAUGGGCGAAAGCCUGACGGAGCAACGCCGCGUGAGUGAUGAAGGUCUUCGGAUCGUAAAGCUCUGUUAUCAGGGAAGAACAAAUGUGUGAGUAACUGUGCACAUCUUGACGGUACCUAAACAGAAAGCAACGGCUAACUACGUG